CGGGGGGAGCAAGCGUUGUUCGGAUUACUGGGCGUAAAGGGCGCGUAGGCGGCCACCGCAAGUCGACUGUGAAAUCUCUGGGCUUAACCCAGAAAGGUCAGCCGAUACUGCGGGGCUAGAGUGCAGAAGGGGCAACUGGAAUUCUCGGUGUAGCGGUGAAAUGCGUAGAUAUCGAGAGGAACACCUGCGGCGAAGGCGGGUUGCUGGGCUGACACUGACGCUGAGGCGCGAAAGCUAGGGGAGCGAACGGGAUUAGAUACCCCGGUAGUCCUAGCCUUAAACGAUGAAUGCUUGGUGUCUGGGGUUUUAUAGUCCCCGGGUGCCGUCGCUAACGCUUUAAGCAUUCCGCCUGGGGAGUACGGUCGCAAGACUG
RNAcentral lists this ribosomal RNA (373 nucleotides) under uncultured organism. RNAcentral describes it as "bacterial SSU rRNA". It matches the Rfam family "Bacterial small subunit ribosomal RNA", at positions 526 to 896 of the family's 1533-position model. The record is from RNAcentral.